UGGGGAAUUCUGCGCAAUGGGGGAAACCCUGACGCAGCAACGCCGCGUGGAGGAUGAAGUCCUUCGGGACGUAAACUCCUUUCGAUCGGGACGAUUAUGACGGUACCGGAAGAAGAAGCCCCGGCUAACUUCGUGCCAGCAGCCGCGGUAAUACGAGGGGGGCGAGCGUUGUUCGGAAUUACUGGGCGUAAAGAGUGUGUAGGUGGUGCUCUAAGUUUGGUGUGAAAUCUCCCGGCUUAACUGGGAGGGUGCGCCGAAAACUGGAGUGCUUGAGUAUGGGAGAGGUAAGCGGAAUUCCUGGUGUAGCGGUGAAAUGCGUAGAUAUCAGGAGGAACACCUGUGGUGUAGACAGCUUACUGGACCAUCACUGACACUGAGACACGAAAGCGUGGGUAGCAAACAGGAUUAGAUACCCUGGUAGUCCACGCCCUAAACGAUGCAUACUUGGUGUGAGCCAUUCAUUUGGUUCGUGCCGGAGCUAACGCGUUAAGUAUGCCGCCUGGGGAGUACGGUCGCAAGGCUG
Molecule: ribosomal RNA, 523 nt
Filed under: uncultured bacterium
Lineage: Bacteria
Description: bacterial SSU rRNA
Rfam family: Bacterial small subunit ribosomal RNA
Source: RNAcentral